GAAGGCAGAAUAUUGAAAUGGAAUGCAGAAUAUUGAAAUGGAAUGUAGAAUAUUGAAUGAAUCAAUCAAAGACUUUAACACUUCCAGCUACAGGCAGCUCAUUAUGGCUCAAAGCAGCCAGGCCUCAGAGUUCUUUUUUACAAUGAUUGGACUGUCAUCUCUUCCCACUUGUUUGUUCCAGUUUUAGCUCGUCAGGUCAUGUAGAUUUACUCUACCAUAUAACAAACCUUUAAAUACCUGAACUGAUACUCAUGCCCUACUUUCUCCACCUGACCUCUGAGGUUGACUUAUUUGGAGGUUCAAGAUAAUUGACCACUAAGUCUGGUUCUGGAGAAGUUGGGUUUCCACAUGCCUUACAGCUUGGAACGUGCUUCCUUGGGGAUUUCAUGUUCAUAUCAAUGACUGAUUUGGAAUUCGGAUUUGCCUUUGAAUGUUGGAGAGCAUGGAAUCAUGCAAGGAUCAG
Long non-coding RNA from Homo sapiens (human), 463 nucleotides. RefSeq annotates it as GRAMD2B antisense RNA 1. NCBI's taxonomy places the organism in Eukaryota, Metazoa, Chordata, Mammalia, Primates, Hominidae. The transcript has 3 exons. The record is from RefSeq and is a predicted model, not a curated record.